Molecule: ribosomal RNA, 301 nt
Filed under: uncultured bacterium
Lineage: Bacteria
Description: partial 16S ribosomal RNA
Rfam family: Bacterial small subunit ribosomal RNA
Source: RNAcentral
CAGCAGCCGCGGUAAUACGAAGGGGGCUAGCGUUGCUCGGAAUUACUGGGCGUAAAGGGAGCGUAGGCGGACAUUUAAGUCAGGGGUGAAAUCCCAGAGCUCAACUCUGGAACUGCCUUUGAUACUGGGUGUCUUGAGUGUGAUAGAGGUAUGUGGAACUCCGAGUGUAGAGGUGAAAUUCGUAGAUAUUCGGAAGAACACCAGUGGCGAAGGCGACAUACUGGAUCAUUACUGACGCUGAGGCUCGAAAGCGUGGGGAGCAAACAGGAUAAGAUACCCGCGUAGUCCCUGUCUCUUAUAC